This 29-nucleotide non-coding RNA is filed under the name Homo sapiens (human). Lineage: Eukaryota; Metazoa; Chordata; Mammalia; Primates; Hominidae. The record is from RNAcentral.
UCCUGAACCAAAAGGAGUGGUGACCAUUC